AAGUCGAACGAGCAUAUUUAACGGAGAUUCGUCGAAGCUGGAUAUGACUUAGUGGCGGACGGGUGAGUAACGCGUGAGCAACCUGGCCUCGAGUGGGGGAUAACAUCGGGAAACCGAUGCUAAUACCGCAUAACAUAUAUGGGUGGCAUCAUCUGUAUAACAAAGGAGAAAUCCGCUCGUGGAUGGGCUCGCGUCUGAUUAGAUAGUUGGUGAGGUAAAGGCUCACCAAGUCGACGAUCAGUAGCCGGACUGAGAGGUUGACCGGCCACAUUGGGACUGAGACACGGCCCAGACUCCUACGGGAGGCAGCAGUGGGGAAUAUUGGGCAAUGGGGGGCAACCCUGACCCAGCAACGCCGCGUGAAGGAAGAAGGCCUUCGGGUUGUAAACUUCUUUUAUGAGGGACGAAGGACGUGACGGUACCUCAUGAAUAAGCCACGGCUAACUACGUGCCAGCAGCCGCGGUAAUACGUAGGUGGCGAGCGUUA
This 487-nucleotide ribosomal RNA is filed under the name uncultured eubacterium WJGRT-158. Its description in RNAcentral is "bacterial SSU rRNA". It matches the Rfam family "Bacterial small subunit ribosomal RNA", at positions 59 to 543 of the family's 1533-position model. The record is from RNAcentral.